GCGGCAGGCCUAAUACAUGCAAGUCGAACGGUAACAUUGGUGCUUGCACCAGAUGACGAGUGGCGCACGGGUGCGUAACGCGUAUGCAACCUACCUUUUACUAGAGUAUAGCCCAGAGAAAUUUGGAUUAAUCCUCUAUAAUAUCUUUUAAUCUCCUGAUUUUAAGAUUAAAGUUUUAACGGUAAAAGAUGGGCAUGCGUCCUAUUAGUUUGUAGGUGAGGUAACGGCUCACCUAGACUACGAUAGGUAGGGGCCCUGAGAGGGGGAUCCCCCACACUGGUACUGAGACACGGACCAGACUCCUACGGGAGGCAGCAGUAAGGAAUAUUGGACAAUGGACGAAAGUCUGAUCCAGCCAUGCCGCGUGCAGGAUGACAGCCCUACGGGUUGUAAACUGCUUUUAUACAGGAAGAAACACUCCGACGUGUCGGAGCUUGACGGUACUGUAAGAAUAAGGAUCGGCUAACUCCGUGCCAGCAGCCGCGGUAAUACGGAGGAUCCAAGCGUUAUCCGGAAUCAUUGGGUUUAAAGGGUCCGCAGGCUGUUUUUUAAGUCAGAGGUGAAAUCCUGCAGCUCAACUGUAGAACUGCCUUUGAUACUGGAAAACUUGAGUUAUUGUGAAGUGGUUAGAAUGUGUGGUGUAGCGGUGAAAUGCAUAGAUAUCACACAGAAUACCGAUUGCGAAGGCAGAUCACUAACAAUAUACUGACGCUCAUGGACGAAAGCGUGGGGAGCGAACAGGAUUAGAUACCCUGGUAGUCCACGCCGUAAACGAUGGAUACUAGCUGUUCGUCUAACAUUGGUUAGAUGAGUGGCUAAGCGAAAGUGAUAAGUA
This 835-nucleotide ribosomal RNA is filed under the name uncultured Flavobacteriaceae bacterium. RNAcentral describes it as "bacterial SSU rRNA". It matches the Rfam family "Bacterial small subunit ribosomal RNA", at positions 39 to 866 of the family's 1533-position model. Lineage: Bacteria; Pseudomonadati; Bacteroidota; Flavobacteriia; Flavobacteriales; Flavobacteriaceae. The record is from RNAcentral.